ACCUGGUUGAUUCUGCCAGUAGUCAUAUGCUUGUCUCAAAGAUUAAGCCAUGCAUGUCUAAGUAUAAGCGUUAUACAAAGUGAAACUGCGAAUGGCUCAUUAAAUCAGUUAUAGUUUAUUUGAUGAAGGAAAAAGCUACAUGGAUAACUGUGGUAAAUCUAGAGCUAAUACAUGCCUUGUAAUGCCCCGACUUCGGAAGGGGUGCAUUUAUUAGAUUAAAUCCAAUGCCUUCGGGCUUUGGGGAGUCAUAAUAACUUUACCAAUCGCAUGGGCUAGUCCCGGCGAUGCUUCAUUCAAAUAUCUGCCCUAUCAACUUUGAUGGUACGGUAGUGGCCUACCAUGGUUGUAACGGGUAACGGGGAAUAAGGGUUCGAUUCCGGAGAGGGAGCCUGAGAAACGGCUACCACAUCCAAGGAAGGCAGCAGGCGCGCAAAUUAUCCAAUCCCGACACGGGGAGAUAGUGACAAAAAAUAACGAUACAGGGCUUUUUAAAGGUCUUGUAAUUGGAAUGAGUACAAUUUAAAUCCCUUAACGAGGAACAAUUGGAGGGCAAGUUUGGUGCCAGCAGCCGCGGUAAUUCCAACUCCAAUAGCGUAUAUUAAAGUUGUUGCAGUUAAAAAGCUCGUAGUUGAAUUUGGGCCCCGGCUGGGUGGUCCGCCGCAAGGCGUGUACUGCCUUUCAAGCUGGGGCUUACUCCCAUUGGUGAACUCUGGUGAGUCUUUGGCUCGCCAGGGGAACCAGGGAAUUUACUUUGAAAAAAUUAGAGUGUUCAAAGCAGGCCUAACGGCUCGAAUAGAUUAGCAUGGAAUAAGGGAAUAGGACGUUGCGAUCCUGUUUCGUUGGUUUUAAGGAUCGCCGUAAUGAUCAAUAGGGACAGCUCGGGGGCAUUAGUAUUCACAAGCUAGAGGUGAAAUUCUUGGAUUUUGUGAAGACUAACUUCUGCGAAAGCAUUUGCCAAGGAUGUUUUCAUUAAUCAAGAACGAAGGUUAGGGGAUCGAAAACGAUUAGAUACCGUUGUAGUCUUAACAGUAAACUAUGCCAGCUAGGGAUCGGUCGGCGCUUUAAUUUACUAUGGCCCGAUCGGCACCUUUGCGAGAAAUCAAAGCAUUUGGUUCUGGGGGGAGUAUGGUCGCAAGCUGAAACUUAAAGAAAUUGACGGAAGGGCACCACCAGGAGUGGAGCCUGCGGCUUAAUUUGACUCAACACGGGGAAACUCACCAGGUCCAGACAUAAGAAGGAUUGACAGAUUGAUAGCGCUUUCAUGAUUUUAUGGGUGGUUG
RNAcentral lists this ribosomal RNA (1280 nucleotides) under Pseudozyma flocculosa. Its description in RNAcentral is "SSU rRNA". It matches the Rfam family "Eukaryotic small subunit ribosomal RNA", at positions 1 to 1280 of the family's 1831-position model. Lineage: Eukaryota; Fungi; Basidiomycota; Ustilaginomycetes; Ustilaginales; Ustilaginaceae. The record is from RNAcentral.